UAUCAAAUCUAAUAAAACAAUGAAAAAAAAAAGUUGUUCUAAAGGCUGUUUUGCAGAGGAGAUAACAAAAAAGAAAAUAGCAAAUAGUUAAAAAAACAAACAAACAAACUAAAUCAGCAAUCUAUCUUUUCAAACAUGAAAAUACUAAACAUUCCCAGGCUACAAAUCAUCACUUGCGCUCUUAUGACAGAUUAUGUCAUUCCUUUUGUGUAACAAGUGGCCUUCGGAGUCACAUGUUUUCCCUGCGUGCGCUGGUGGUUGUUACAGUGCACUGCACCGCUGCUGCGUGGGUCACUGGGUUGUUUGGGAAAACUGAAACGUGGUGGCCUCGUUCUGCAGCCCGAGAUAAAAAAAACAACAAAAAAAACACAAAAAAACGACCACCUGGAAAACAGUAUGCUGGAAACAACGAGUUUUGCUCUCUGGGCUCAAGGGGUCCGGAGCCGCCACAGCUGCA
Xiphophorus hellerii (green swordtail) is the source of this 457-nucleotide long non-coding RNA. RefSeq lists it as uncharacterized. NCBI's taxonomy places the organism in Eukaryota, Metazoa, Chordata, Actinopteri, Cyprinodontiformes, Poeciliidae. The record is from RefSeq and is a predicted model, not a curated record. The transcript has 2 exons.